GAGGCAUGGGCGAAGCCUGAUCCAGCCAUGCCGCGUGUGUGAAGAAGGCUUUCGGGUUGUAAAGCACUUUCAGUGGGGAAGAAGGCUUGUCGGCCAAUACCCGGCAAGAGCGACAUCACCCACAGAAGAAGCACCGGCUAACUCCGUGCCAGCAGCCGCGGUAAUACGGAGGGUGCAAGCGUUAAUCGGAAUUACUGGGCGUAAAGCGCGCGUAGGCGGCUUGUCACGCCGGGUGUGAAAGCCCCGGGCUCAACCUGGGAACGGCAUCCGGAACGGGCAGGCUAGAGUGCAGGAGAGGAAGGUAGAAUUCCCGGUGUAGCGGUGAAAUGCGUAGAGAUCGGGAGGAAUACCAGUGGCGAAGGCGGCCUUCUGGACUGACACUGACGCUGAGGUGCGAAAGCGUGGGUAGCAAACAGGAUUAGAUACCCUGGUAGUCCACGCCGUAAACGAUGUCGACUAGCCGUUGGGUCCCUUGAGGACUUAGUGGCGCAGUUAACGCGAUAAGUCGACCGCCUGGGGAGUACGGCCGCAAGGUUAAAACUCAAAUGAAUUGACGGGGGCCCGCACAAGCGGUGGAGCAUGUGGUUUAAUUCGAUGCAACGCGAAGAACCUUACCUACCCUUGACAUCCUGCGAACCCGGAAGAGAUUCCGGGGUGCCUUCGGGAGCGCAGAGACAGGUGCUGCAUGGCUGUCGUCAGCUCGUGUUGUGAAAUGUUGGGUUAAGUCCCGUAACGAGCGCAACCCUUGUCCCUAUUUGCCAGCGAUUCGGUCGGGAACUCUAGGGAGACUGCCGGUGACAAACCGGAGGAAGGUGGGGACGACGUCAAGACAUCAUGGCCCUUACGGGUAGGGCUACACACGUGCUACAAUGGCCGGUACAAAGGGUUGCGAAGCCGCGA
RNAcentral lists this ribosomal RNA (900 nucleotides) under Chromohalobacter sp. A2LM10. RNAcentral describes it as "bacterial SSU rRNA". It matches the Rfam family "Bacterial small subunit ribosomal RNA", at positions 366 to 1260 of the family's 1533-position model. The record is from RNAcentral. Lineage: Bacteria; Pseudomonadati; Pseudomonadota; Gammaproteobacteria; Oceanospirillales; Halomonadaceae.